Thalassophryne amazonica is the source of this 305-nucleotide long non-coding RNA. RefSeq lists it as uncharacterized. The record is from RefSeq and is a predicted model, not a curated record. The transcript is spliced from 3 exons. Lineage: Eukaryota; Metazoa; Chordata; Actinopteri; Batrachoidiformes; Batrachoididae.
UUCAACAAUUACAACAGGCUCACUCACCACUGUCUGUCUUAUAAUUAGUAUUAAAUCUCUGUUUUUAUCUGAUAUUAUUCUCUACAUGGUUCCAUUACUCUCAAAUAAAAACAGUACCUUUUUUGAUAUAAAGCACACAUUUACAGUUUUUUUUAAGAAUAGAGCAGAACAACACAGUUACAAAUACUUGAAAAAACAGUUAAGUCAGUGAAUAGAUUUCACAAAAAGUCGUCACAUCUGCAUUAUGUAUGCCCCAGAAGGUCAAAGUUCAGAUCUGAAAUAAAAAUAGAGUUUAAAAACAUCAA